This 301-nucleotide ribosomal RNA is filed under the name uncultured bacterium. RNAcentral describes it as "partial 16S ribosomal RNA". It matches the Rfam family "Bacterial small subunit ribosomal RNA", at positions 509 to 809 of the family's 1533-position model. The record is from RNAcentral.
CAGUAGCCGCGGUAAUACAGAGGGUGCGAGCGUUAAUCGGAUUUACUGGGCGUAAAGCGUGCGUAGGCGGCUUCUUAAGUCGGAUGUGAAAUCCCUGAGCUUAACUUAGGAAUUGCAUUCGAUACUGGGAAGCUAGAGUAUGGGAGAGGAUGGUAGAAUUCCAGGUGUAGCGGUGAAAUGCGUAGAGAUCUGGAGGAAUACCGAUGGCGAAGGCAGCCAUCUUGCCUAAUACUGACGCUGAGGUACGAAAGCAUGGGGAGCAAACAGGAUUAGAGACCCCGGUAGUCCCUGUCUCUUAUAA